Molecule: ribosomal RNA, 506 nt
Filed under: uncultured bacterium
Lineage: Bacteria
Description: bacterial SSU rRNA
Rfam family: Bacterial small subunit ribosomal RNA
Source: RNAcentral
AAUCAACGCUGGCGGCAUGCCUUAUACAUGCAAGUCGAACGCGAAAGCGGACUUCGGUCCGCAAGUAGAGUGGCAGACGGGUGAGUAUCGCGUGGGUGACCUACCUUCGAGUGGGGGACAACCCCUGGAAACGGGGGGCUAAUACCGCAUAACAUCCCGCUCUUGGACGAGCGGUGAUCAAAGCUGGGGAUCGCAAGACCUGGCGCUUGUUGAGGGGCCCGCGUCCGAUUAGCUUGUUGGUGAGGUAACGGCUCACCAAGGCUCCGAUCGGUAGCCGGCCUGAGAGGGCGGACGGCACACUGGGACUGAGACACGGCCCAGACUCUUACGGGAGGCAGCAGUAAGGAAUUGUUCGCAAGUGGCGAAAGCCUGACGACGCAAUGCCGCGUGGAGGACGAAGAUCUUCGGGUACGUAAACUCCUGUCGAGCGGGAAGAACAGUGCGCGGGUUAACUACCCCGUGCGCCUGACGGUACCGACUAAAGGAACGCCCCGGCUAACUCCGUG